AUACUAAGUUGAACUAACGAAGUCAGAUUGCUAAGACAGCUAGGAUGUUGGCUUGGAAGCAGCCAUUCAUUUAAAGAGUGCGUAACAGCUCACUAGUCGAGGAGUUUGGCGUGGAUAAUAAUCGGGCAUCAAGUAUCUUACCGAAGCUAUGGGAUCAUUAAUGAUCGGUAGGGGAGCAUUCCACUCCGCGUCGAAGGUGAAGCGUGAGCUUUGCUGGAGCGUGUGGAAAAGCAAAUGUAGGUAUAAGUAACGAUAAAGGGGGUGAGAAACCCCCUCGCCGAAAGACUAAGGUUUCCUGAUCAACGCUAAUCGGAUCAGGGU
This 321-nucleotide ribosomal RNA is filed under the name Bacteroides caccae. RNAcentral describes it as "partial 23S ribosomal RNA". It matches the Rfam family "Bacterial large subunit ribosomal RNA", at positions 1056 to 1380 of the family's 2925-position model. The record is from RNAcentral. Lineage: Bacteria; Pseudomonadati; Bacteroidota; Bacteroidia; Bacteroidales; Bacteroidaceae.